GCGGCCGCCGGGCCCCGGGGUUGAGGCGAGGAGCCCGCGGGCGGCCGGUCGGGCGGGGCGGCGGCGCUGACAGCAUCCUGAGGUUAGCAUUACACUUCUCCCAGUGGAGCCCAUGACUUCUGAUCAGGACGCUAAGGUUGUGGCUGAACCGCAGACGCAGAGAGUCCAGGAGGGCAAGGACAGCGCUCAUCUGAUGAAUGGUCCUAUAUCUCAAACCACUUCUCAGACAAGUUCCAUCCCACCUUUGAGUCAGAAAACACUCCUCAGCUACCGGUGUCAGAGGACGGUGUUGUUUGGGGAUGGCAUGAUAGAGACGGACAGUUCGUACCAGCAACUAAGGUUUCAGAGCUGAACCCUAAUGCAGAAGUGUGGGGGGCUCCUGUGUUACAUCUGGAAGCAAGCAGUGCUGCUGACGGUGUGAGUGCUGCAUGGGAGGAGGUGGCUGGCCACCACGCAGACCGUGGCCCGCAGGGAUCGGAUGCCAAUGGUGAUGGUGACCAGGGCCAUGAGAAUGCCGCAUUGCCAGACCCGCAGGAGUCGGACCCAGCAGACAUGAACGCUCUCGCUCUGGGUCCCUCAGAAUAUGACUCUCUGCCUGAAAAUAGCGAGACAG
RNAcentral lists this long non-coding RNA (613 nucleotides) under Homo sapiens (human). RNAcentral's name for it is "non-protein coding lnc-IDI2-3:1". Lineage: Eukaryota; Metazoa; Chordata; Mammalia; Primates; Hominidae. The record is from RNAcentral.